AUCACAUAUUUUUCAAAUUAUUUUAGCAUCUAUCUUCAUAGCAAAGCAUCAUCGUUCUUAAACCUCUAUUUACCUUGACACAUUUUUUCGAAAGCUCUGACAAGUUUGAGCUGAUGAACCUCGAUUUUAUCAAGAAUAACGCUAACUAUACUUAAAUUAACUUAGAAAAUUGGUAUAUCAACUGAUGCGGUAGUGAACAAACUUUGCAUGAACACCAUUCGACAUGUAACGAUAGAGUUCGUCAC
Long non-coding RNA from Rhodamnia argentea, 245 nucleotides. RefSeq lists it as uncharacterized. NCBI's taxonomy places the organism in Eukaryota, Viridiplantae, Streptophyta, Magnoliopsida, Myrtales, Myrtaceae. The transcript has 3 exons. The record is from RefSeq and is a predicted model, not a curated record.